This is a long non-coding RNA of Aquila chrysaetos chrysaetos, 399 nucleotides long. RefSeq lists it as uncharacterized. NCBI's taxonomy places the organism in Eukaryota, Metazoa, Chordata, Aves, Accipitriformes, Accipitridae. The record is from RefSeq and is a predicted model, not a curated record. The transcript is spliced from 3 exons.
GCAAUGCAAUUUACAAUCUGUAAGGGAGACUUUCAGGACUGCAUUGUAUCUGUCUGUCAAUCACAGAUCAGAUCGCACUGAAAUACUUACAUUUGGGUGCCAAAAGCCAGAGAUUUCUGAAAUCACUAUGCCAUUCUGACAACUGAGUACCCCAGAUCUGCAGUAUGUAAGGAGGCAAUCAGCAGAAUCCUAAGGGGAAAUGAAACUACAACCUAGCUGCUUGUAAGCUGAUGAAACCUUUCCAGGAGAAUCAAUCCAGAAGAGAACUUGAUAUGAUAGACUGCAGCUGGCUCUAUGCAAGCUCCACAGACUACAAGUGCUCAGCAUAGAGAUGGCCAGUGCUGCAGUGCCCUGCACCUGGGGUGAACUGCGGUGAUGAUAGAUUCUCUUGGAUCUCAG